GCCUAACACAUGCAAGUCGAGCGGAAACGAGUUAUCUGAACCUUCGGGGAACGAUAACGGCGUCGAGCGGCGGACGGGUGAGUAAUGCCUAGGAAAUUGCCCUGAUGUGGGGGAUAACCAUUGGAAACGAUGGCUAAUACCGCAUGAUGCCUACGGGCCAAAGAGGGGGACCUUCGGGCCUCUCGCGUCAGGAUAUGCCUAGGUGGGAUUAGCUAGUUGGUGAGGUAAGGGCUCACCAAGGCGACGAUCCCUAGCUGGUCUGAGAGGAUGAUCAGCCACACUGGAACUGAGACACGGUCCAGACUCCUACGGGAGGCAGCAGUGGGGAAUAUUGCACAAUGGGCGCAAGCCUGAUGCAGCCAUGCCGCGUGUGUGAAGAAGGCCUUCGGGUUGUAAAGCACUUUCAGUCGUGAGGAAGGUAGUGUAGUUAAUAGCUGCAUUAUUUGACGUUAGCUGACAGAAGAAGCACCGGCUAACUCCGUGCCAGCAGCCGCGGUAAUACGGAGGGUGCGAGCGUUAAUCGGAAUUACUGGGCGUAAAGCGCAUGCAGGUGGUUUGUUAAGUCAGAUGUGAAAGCCCGGGGCUCAACCUCGGAAUAGCAUUUGAAACUGGCAGACUAGAGUACUGUAGAGGGGGGUAGAAUUUC
RNAcentral lists this ribosomal RNA (646 nucleotides) under Vibrio alginolyticus. RNAcentral describes it as "bacterial SSU rRNA". It matches the Rfam family "Bacterial small subunit ribosomal RNA", at positions 46 to 670 of the family's 1533-position model. The record is from RNAcentral. Lineage: Bacteria; Pseudomonadati; Pseudomonadota; Gammaproteobacteria; Vibrionales; Vibrionaceae.